UAAAAUAAGAUUAGUAUAGCUUGUAUUUUAUAGAGGAAAAACUGAAGCUCUUUGAGCUUGGGUGACUUGUUGACGGCCAUGCAGGCAGCAAGCGGUGGAAUUCCACUGCAUCACACCAACUCCUGGAUCUCCAAGUCACAGUCUCUAUCCUCAGGAAGCUUAGAUGAGACUUGAGAUAACCACACCUUAUAGACAGAUGCAAAUGUGCAGCAAGAAUUUCCUAAGUCCUAUCUGUCUUCCCCACUCCCAUCGCCACGACUGCCUGGGAUUGAAGCUCCUCAUCUUGCUGUUGGUGGAAUGGAAUAAUCAGACUUACAGAAAAACAUGCAGAAAAAGUGAGGAGCCAGAAGCCCAGUGUUGUGGUUCACACUGCCUUGAAGUCUUGCCCUUUGUCCUCUUCUUCCUGAACAGAUCUGUCUUCCUGGGGCAGGACUUGCAUUCCUCACACCAUCCUUUCUGAAGGUGCUGAGGUAAACCUGGUCGAGCCGGUUAGCUCUGGGGUGGAGCCCGGUGAUGGCCUGAUUCAGAGCCUCUGUUACCUGGGGCAGCCAGAAGCGAAUGAGAGGACAGCUGUAAAUCAUCUCUGGCCUGCUGAUGACAUUCUCCUCUCCCAGCUGAAGGACUGAGGUUGUUCCAGGCCUUUGAGUGACUCUGGGCAGGGCUGGGAGAGGACACCUCUCAGCCAGUGCUUGGGGAGGAGGAAUUCAGAUCCUGGGAAAGACAGCAAGCAGCAGCAGGUGUGGAGUAAGCAGGGAGUGACCGUCUGGGACAAUUGCCUAGAAUAAACACUAUUGUCUGCCACAGGCUUUUCUGUGCCAGCCUGGGCCUGCUGAGCUGACCGUGUUUGAAGGGCCAGUUGUGGGCUAAGCUAGGCAAGCUGAGAUCAGUCCUGCAGGAACCUGAGGUCAUCACAGGAUGUGAAGACAGAGGCCAGGAGCUUGUGCGACCAGGAAUGAGUGAGGAGAUGGAAAGUCUCAAGGGAGAGAAGACUGAGGAGGAAGGCUGGAACGAGGCUGGGUGACAUUCAUUCAUACCAAAGGCUAACUUCUGGUGUCAUCUUGGAUGGUCCAAUUUAAAAGAAACCACAGAGCCUCUCUCUGGACAUCUAAGGCUGGCUUCAGUUACACCCACUGUCUUCUCGGAUCCUGGAAUGCAUAUGUUCCUGCGGCCACUCCUGCUCUGUCUGUCCCUGUGACCCUCCAAUUUUACCCACCUCCUGGUGCUAUUCUUCUCUAUCACAGGAAACUUGCAUCCUUCUAUUAUUAUCUUCACUGCUCAGAAACCCAAACUGUGAAGACACAAAGAUGUAACCACAUGAAAAUCCACACUUGACCCUAAUUUUACCCACAGUGAUGUAAUUCACCUUGUCCUCAGGGACAGGGAGAAUUUACCACCUCAUUCUUUCCUCUCCCUUUAGACACUGAGCAUUAGGAAAUUGUUAUCUGGAGGAAAGGCCCAUUGAGGAGGGUACUCCGGUGACCCAAAAACAGCCCUGGAGGAAGCCUGCCAUCCAGAGCAGGCUACGACCCACUGAUGGGUGUCCUAGGACACUGGCCCUGCUCCACUCCCCUCCCUGGGACCUCUGUGAGUUGCAGCUUUCAUUUGACUAUUAUAGAUGAACGAAGGACAAGAACUAAAUAGAGCCAAGAAAAAGGAAGUGGAAGGAAGAAUCAUGGCUGAAGCAGUGGAGUAUAUUUCCUUUUACUUAUUUCCCAGGCAAAAAACAACUGAUACAAGUCUCCAUGAUUGCCUUUUGUUCAUGUAUUAGGAAAUCUGUAUUACUUGCUCUGCUGUCCUGGUGUUUCAGGUUUUUAUUUGUAUUUCUUCAUGUAAUGUCAAUAAAACAUCA
This is a long non-coding RNA of Callithrix jacchus (white-tufted-ear marmoset), 1849 nucleotides long. RefSeq lists it as uncharacterized. Lineage: Eukaryota; Metazoa; Chordata; Mammalia; Primates; Cebidae. The record is from RefSeq and is a predicted model, not a curated record.